RNAcentral lists this ribosomal RNA (518 nucleotides) under uncultured Glomus. Its description in RNAcentral is "SSU rRNA". It matches the Rfam family "Eukaryotic small subunit ribosomal RNA", at positions 569 to 1092 of the family's 1831-position model. Lineage: Eukaryota; Fungi; Glomeromycota; Glomeromycetes; Glomerales; Glomeraceae. The record is from RNAcentral.
AGCAGCCGCGGUAAUUCUAGCUCCAAUAGCGUAUAUUAAAGUUGUUGCAGUUAAAAAGCUCGUAGUUGAAUUUCGGGAUCAAUUUAUUGGUCGUGCUAUUGUACGUACUGGUAUUAUUGAUUUCUACCUUCUGACGAACCAUGAUGUCAUUAAUUUGGUGUCUUGGGGAAUCAGGACUGUUACUUUGAAAAAUUAGAGUGUUUAAAGCAGGCUCACGCUUGAAUACAUUAGCAUGGAAUAACGAAAUAGGACGUUUGAUUCUAUUUUGUUGGUUUCUAGGAUCGACGUAAUGAUUAAUAGGGAUAGUUGGGGGCAUUAGUAUUCAAUUGUCAGAGGUGAAAUUCUUGGAUUUAUUGAAGACUAACUACUGCGAAAGCAUUUGCCAAGGAUGUUUUCAUUAAUCAAGACGAAAGUUAGGGGAUCGAAGACGAUCAGAUACCGUCGUAGUCUUAACCAUAAACUAUGCCGGCUAGGGAUCGGAUGAUGUUAAUUUUUAAUGACUCAUUCGGCGCCUUAAC